CACCAGUGGGCUUUGUGCAAAGGUCUUGCUUGCAGUAAAGAACUAGCUAUUUCUUUAUUAGUGACCUUGUGAGUCCUUGAAAUCCAAAUGACCUUGUUGAUUUCCUUAAAACCCAAGAUGAGAAAGCCUUGAAGUUAUUUUUGUACAGCAUUUCUGU
Perognathus longimembris pacificus (Pacific pocket mouse) is the source of this 157-nucleotide long non-coding RNA. RefSeq lists it as uncharacterized. The transcript has 3 exons. NCBI's taxonomy places the organism in Eukaryota, Metazoa, Chordata, Mammalia, Rodentia, Heteromyidae. The record is from RefSeq and is a predicted model, not a curated record.